This 479-nucleotide ribosomal RNA is filed under the name uncultured delta proteobacterium. RNAcentral's name for it is "bacterial SSU rRNA". It matches the Rfam family "Bacterial small subunit ribosomal RNA", at positions 66 to 523 of the family's 1533-position model. Lineage: Bacteria; Deltaproteobacteria. The record is from RNAcentral.
ACGAGAAAGGGGCUUCGGCCCUGAGUAAAGUGGCGGACGGGUGAGUAACACGUGGGUAAUCUGCCUUUCAGUGGGGGAUAACUGUCCGAAAGGAUAGCUAAUACCGCGUACGUCGGCGAGGUCUGCGGACCUUGCCGGGAAAGCCGGCCUCUCCAUGGAAGCUGGCGCUGAAAGAGGAACCCGCGGCCCAUCAGCUAGUUGGUAGGGUAACGGCCUACCAAGGCUAAGACGGGUAGCUGGUCUGAGAGGAUGAUCAGCCACACUGGGACUGAGACACGGCCCAGACUCCUACGGGAGGCAGCAGUGGGGAAUAUUGGGCAAUGGGCGCAAGCCUGACCCAGCCACGCCGCGUGAGUGAUGAAGGCCUUCGGGUCGUAAAGCUCUGUGGGGAGGGACGAAAAAACGGGGGCGAAUACCCCCUGGACUGACGGUACCUCCUUAGCAAGCACCGGCUAACUCCGUGCCAGCAGCCGCGGUAA